RNAcentral lists this ribosomal RNA (434 nucleotides) under uncultured bacterium. Its description in RNAcentral is "bacterial SSU rRNA". It matches the Rfam family "Bacterial small subunit ribosomal RNA", at positions 30 to 465 of the family's 1533-position model. The record is from RNAcentral.
AUUGAACGCUGGCGGCGUGCUUUACACAUGCAAGUCGAACGGCAGCAUUACCUUCGGGUAGAUGGCGAGUGGCGGACGGGUGAGUAAUACAUCGAGACGUGCCUUUUAGUGGGGGAUAACUCAUCGAAAGAUGAGCUAAUACCGCAUAAUCUCUGAGGAGGAAAGCUGGGGAUCCGCAAGGACCUGGCGCUGAAAGAUCGGUCGAUGGUCGAUUAGUUAGNGGUGGGGUAAAGGCUUACCAAGGCAAUGAUCGAUAGCUGUUCUGAGAGGAAGAUCAGCCACACUGGAACUGAGAAACGGUCCAGACUCCUACGGAGGCAGCAGUGGGAAUUUUGGACAAUGGGGCAACCCUGAUCCAGCAACGCCGCGUGAAUGAAGAAGGCCUUAGGGUUGUAAAGUUCUUUUGUCUGGGAGCAAAGCGCAUAAGUGAAUAU